Molecule: ribosomal RNA, 836 nt
Filed under: uncultured methanogenic archaeon
Lineage: Archaea; Methanobacteriati; Methanobacteriota
Description: bacterial SSU rRNA
Rfam family: Archaeal small subunit ribosomal RNA
Source: RNAcentral
CGGCCACCGCUAUAGGAAUUCGAUUAAGACAUGCGAGUCGAGAGUCUUCGGGACUCGGCGGACUGCUCAGUAACACGUGGAGAACGUGCCCUUAAGUGGAGGAUAAUCUCGGGAAAUUGAGGAUAAUACUCCAUAGAUCAUGGGAUCUGGAAUGACCCAUGGUUGAAAGUUCCGGCGCUUAAGGAUCGCUGUGCGGCCUAUCAGGUAGUAGUGGGUGUAACGUACCCCCUAGCCGACGACGGGUAUGGGCCUUGAGAGAGGGAGCCCAGAGUUGGAUUCUGAGACACGAAUCCAGGCCCUACGGGGCGCAGCAGUCGCGAAAACUUCACACUGGGGGCAACCCCGAUGAGGGAAUUCCUAGUGCUAGGACAUUUGUUCUAGCUUUUCUCAAGCGUAGAUAACUUGAGGAAUAAGGGCUGGGUAAGACGGGUGCCAGCCGCCGCGGUAAUACCUGCAGCCCAAGUGGUGGUCGAUUUUAUUGAGUCUAAAACGUUCGUAGCCGGUCUGGUAAAUCCUUGGGUAAAUCGGGAAGCUUAACUUUCCGACUUCCGAGGAGACUGCCAGACUUGGGACCGGGAGAGGCAAGAGGUACUUCUGGGGUAGGGGUAAAAUCCUGUAAUCCUAGAAGGACCACCGGUGGCGAAGGCGUCUUGCUAGAACGGAUCCGACGGUGAGGGACGAAGCCCUGGGUCGCAAACGGGAUUAGAUACCCCGGUAGUCCAGGGUGUAAACGCUGCAGACUUGGUGUUGGAGGCCCUUCGGGGGCAUUCAGUGCCGGAGAGAAGUUGUUAAGUCUGCUACUUGGGGAGUACGUCCGCAAGGAUGAAACUUAAAGG